AUGUGUAUUCCUGGAUUGUCCCAUGUAAGGCUCACCCUCCCGCCCCCCAAAGUGGUUGAUCGUUGGAACGAGAAAAGGGCCAUGUUCGGCGUGUAUGACAACAUAGGGAUCCUGGGAAACUUUGAAAAGCACCCCAAAGAACUGAUCAGGGGCCCCAGAUGGCUUCGGGGUUGGAAGGGAAAUGAAUUGCAGUGUUGUAUCCGAAAGAAGAAAAUGGUUGGAAAGCAAAUGUUCAUCGAUGACCUGCACAACCUUAAUAAACGCAUCCGCUAUCUCUACAAACACUUUAACCGACAUGGGAAGUACCGGUAG
This is an RNA transcript of Propithecus coquereli (Coquerel's sifaka), 312 nucleotides long. It is a transcript of the gene named 39S ribosomal protein L51, mitochondrial pseudogene, with no coding region annotated. Lineage: Eukaryota; Metazoa; Chordata; Mammalia; Primates; Indriidae. The transcript has a single exon. The record is from RefSeq and is a predicted model, not a curated record.